Non-coding RNA from Camellia sinensis, 367 nucleotides. The record is from RefSeq and is a predicted model, not a curated record. NCBI's taxonomy places the organism in Eukaryota, Viridiplantae, Streptophyta, Magnoliopsida, Ericales, Theaceae.
UAGUUGUGAGUGGAGUGCUGGAUAAUAAAGAGGCUGACAUGAGGAAGGAAAGGAGGAUGAAAAUACCUAUCAUUAGAGAGGACUAUCUGGUUGAUUGUGUCAAAAGACCAAAAACUUCCUUUUGAUCUAUACACAAUUGAAGCCAUCAGAGAAGAGUCUAGCAUGGUCACUUAAAGUGAAAGGGCGAAAUGCUGUACAUGAAUCAUCUAGCUUGCAAGAUUCUGGCCACAUCCUUGAGGAUGGAAAAAGCAUUUACAAUACAACUUUGAACAUAUCUGACCUUUCAACUAAGUAAUUUCUUUUAUACUUCUUUUGAAGCAUUUUUACCUUAAUUAUAUAAAUUGUUGUUGCUUUUUGUGGUUUAAAA